Molecule: small nuclear RNA, 99 nt
Filed under: Myotis lucifugus (little brown bat)
Lineage: Eukaryota; Metazoa; Chordata; Mammalia; Chiroptera; Vespertilionidae
Source: RNAcentral
GUGCUAGCUUUGGAGGUACAUCAAUUAAAAUCAGAAUAGAGAUUAGCAUGGCCGCUUUGCAAAGAUGACAUACAAAUUCGUAGAGUGUUCCUUUUUUUU